Molecule: RNase P RNA, 387 nt
Filed under: Holosporales bacterium
Lineage: Bacteria; Pseudomonadati; Pseudomonadota; Alphaproteobacteria; Holosporales
Description: RNase P RNA component class A
Rfam family: Bacterial RNase P class A
About the family: Ribonuclease P (RNase P) is a ubiquitous endoribonuclease, found in archaea, bacteria and eukarya as well as chloroplasts and mitochondria. Its best characterised activity is the generation of mature 5'-ends of tRNAs by cleaving the 5'-leader elements of precursor-tRNAs. Cellular RNase Ps are ribonucleoproteins.
Source: RNAcentral
AGUGGCAGUUGGUUGAUCGCUGUGAUUCACUUCAUAGAGGAAAGUCCGGGCUUCAUUGUAAGCAAGGUGCCGGAUAACGUCCGGCGUUGGUUGUCGAAAGAUAUCCAAUAGGGAAAGCGCAACAGAAAGUAUACCGCAUCGGUUUCGAUGUAAGGGUGAAAAGGCGUAGGUAAAAGCUCACCGCAUCUCUGGUAACAGGGAUGGCACUGCAAACCCCACCUGAAGCAAGACCAAAUAGGGAUGGCGUGAACUAGUUUCGUGAGAGCUUACACUCGUAGUCAUCCGGGUAGGUUGCUCGAGCUUAUUGGUAACAUUAAGCCUAGAUGAAUGAUCAAACACGGGAGAUAUCUCCUCCGACAGAACCCGGCUUAUAGACUGCCACUGGAU